UACGGGGGGGGCAAGCGUUGUUCGGAAUUACUGGGCGUAAAGGGCUCGUAGGCGGCCAACUAAGUCAGACGUGAAAUCCCUCGGCUUAACCGGGGAACUGCGUCUGAUACUGGAUGGCUUGAGUUCGGUAGGGGAGACUGGAAUUCCUGGCGUAGCGGUGAAAUGCGCAGAUAUCAGGAGGAACACCGGUGGCGAAGGCGGGUCUCUGGGCCGAUACUGACGCUGAGGAGCGAAAGCGUGGGGAGCGAACAGG
This 253-nucleotide ribosomal RNA is filed under the name uncultured bacterium. Its description in RNAcentral is "partial 16S ribosomal RNA". It matches the Rfam family "Bacterial small subunit ribosomal RNA", at positions 524 to 776 of the family's 1533-position model. The record is from RNAcentral.